AAAAUACUGAGGAAAAUGGCAGGCAGUGUUGGGAAACUAUGCCGAUUACUUUUCAUCAAAAACAGUUGCACAGUUCACAAUACAUCGCGGAGUUCGCAGGCAGCUUGUUAACUGAACGAAAAACGAGGGAAAUCCCGGAUAGCAGCGACUGCCAAAAGUGAAAGCCCCCAGAAAAAGUACAAGAGAGUAAGCGGAGAGAGGAGGUGGCGAAAAAGAAGAGUCUGGGCGAGAGAAAAACGAUUUUUUCAGAGAACACCGCGAAUUGUGGAACGGGGAGCUAAAACCUGCCAAUAAGGAUUUUAAAUAUAUACUGCGAAAACGGGAGGCUUACGGACAGCGCGCUGCCGAAGAUCGUCAAAAUUCACGGGAUUCAGGGGAUACACGGGAGUCAGCACCACCACGCACCACCUUAUAGCACUUUACUAGCCGCCACCACGCUCCACAAACAGCCAGCCAUCAUGUUCGUCAACUCCAUGACGUUCCGCGGCAAUCCGGCGAACUACCACCAGCAGCAGCCGGCCCUGAAUCACCACACGCUGGCCGCCGCGCACCACCAGCAGCAGCUGCAUCACCAUGCCGCCGCCGCUGGCCACCUGGGUCACGUAGGUGGUGGUCAUGCGGCCAGCAAUCAUCUGGCCGCGGCCGCUGUCCUGGGUCGGCAUGGCCACAAUUCGCUGGGCAGCGGCCACACAUCCAGCUCAUCGCACUCAACUGGAGUGGGUGUGGGCGCUGGAGCUCUGGCCAGCGGAAGCAGUGGCGGCGGGAUCAUCAAUAGCAAUAGCACGCCGGAUAGUCGCAAGAUUUACAUAAAGAACCUGGAGCGGUCCAUCGACAACAAGGCGGUGUAUGACACGUUCUCUGUGUUCGGGAACAUCCUCAACUGUAACGUGGCCAAGGACGAGGAUGGGAAUUCGCGUGGUUACGGGUUUGUGCAUUUCGACACGGAGGAGGCUGCUCGUGCGGCCAUCGAAAAGGUGAACGGGAUGCUGUGCAAUAAUCAGAAGGUGCACGUGGUGAAGUUCAUACCCAGGCGGGAUCGCGAGCAGGAAAAGGCUACGCACUUUAAGAACUUGUACGUGAAGAAUCUGGGCGAGGAGUUCACUGAGCAGCACUUGCGGGAGAUGUUCGAGCCCUACGGUCGCAUCACCAGUCAUAAGCUUAUGCUCGACGACGAGGGACGCUCCCGCCGUUUCGGAUUCGUGGCCUACGAGAAUCCACAAUCGGCGCUGGCCGCCGUGAUUGGGCUUCACGGCAAGCAACUUGGCGACAACAAAUUCUUGUACGUGGCAAGGGCUCUUAGCAAGGCAGAGCGGCAGCAGGAGAUCAAUCGCAAGCUGGAGGAGCGUAAACGCCAGAAGGCUGGACAAAUAUUCUACUAUUAGGCUGAAAAUUGGGCAGCCGAUCGGAGGAGAUUGCGAGGAGUUUACGCAGCACCCACAUACAUACAAUAUAUACACACACAUAUAUAUAAACCUAUAUAGAUAUUUACACGAAAUUGUAUCGAGCAGCUAAGCGAGAAUUCAGGCAGCCAUCAGGCAGAGGGGAAAUAACACAAAAUCCUGAUAAUUGACAUUUAGACGUAGGCAAAUGAGUCGCAACACAGUUGAAAGAUUUAUGGAGGCACCCAAAACACACAGAACACACGAAAAAACUAAAACUAAACAGAACUCGAACUCUCAAUCGAAAGGAUUUUCUAGGACAUUAGGACAACAGUUUCUUAGCACUCACUAGCGUUUUUUUGAAAUUAGAUGUUUGUCUUUACUGUUGAAUUUAGUGAGCAGGGGCUUUGGUGUCAGCUUCUCGCUUAAAAACAAAAAAAAAACACACAUAUUUCAUAAACAAUAUGUAAUGCCAAGACAAGCCCAAAAUUUACACAGGCUCUGUGGCGUACUUGAGAGUUGAAUCGAACGAUAUGAGUCCUGGAAAAAUAUGCAUAUUUACACAUACCUAUAUAUUUAAACAGAACAUAAAAUUGAUGUAACCCUCUAUUAACAAUUGAUGCACUCACUCUACGUAUAUACAUAAACAUAUAUAUAUAUUUAAUGUAAAACCCAUUACACGCUGUAGUUAAAAAGCGUUUAUAAUACUCACACUCUCCACGCUAUAACUAAUACUUUGACGAAAGGAAUCAAGUGCAACACAUUGCGAAAGCGAACCCUACACGUAAUUUAUAUGAUAGACGCAAAUGCGGAUUAAUGAGAAGAACACGUCGGAGCUGAACAGAAAAUGAAAAUAAUAAUAAGCAGGAGGGCCAACUGCAUUUCCUGUGCUCGCAAAACGAAGAAAAGGAAACCACAAAACAGGAUCGUAAAGACAGCAGUAAUAUAACGAAAAAAACAAAAACUAAUUGAAUGUAACCAAUCCAAAAUGUGUACACAAUGCAAUGUUUAAAAUCUUUUUAGAAUAUUAUUAUUGAUGGCACGACAAAAAAAAAACUAUAAUUAUUAAAAAUAGUUUGAUGGCAGGAGGCGUAUAUACAAGUUCGGCCAAUGGCAAAUUAACCCGAAAAAGAAAGCAAAUACAUAAAUAAUUUAAGAUUAUUGAGCUUAAUUUUUAAAAUGUUUCCAAGAACAGCAAGAAAAGAAUAAUAACAUGAAAAGAAAAAAACAAAAUAUUAAGAAAAAACAAUGCUAAACUCACUCAAAAUUUGUAAAAAUUCAAAUUUUGCGUCUAGACAUACACAUGUAUAGUUAAAAAA
Molecule: unclassified non-coding RNA, 2698 nt
Filed under: Drosophila ananassae
Lineage: Eukaryota; Metazoa; Arthropoda; Insecta; Diptera; Drosophilidae
Description: GF11244
Source: RNAcentral